RNAcentral lists this ribosomal RNA (832 nucleotides) under Lacticaseibacillus rhamnosus. RNAcentral describes it as "bacterial SSU rRNA". It matches the Rfam family "Bacterial small subunit ribosomal RNA", at positions 57 to 852 of the family's 1533-position model. The record is from RNAcentral. Lineage: Bacteria; Bacillati; Bacillota; Bacilli; Lactobacillales; Lactobacillaceae.
GCAGUCGAACGAGUUCUGAUGUAUUGAAAGGUGCUUGCAUCUUGAUUUAAUUUUGAACGAGUGGCGGACGGGUGAGUAACACGUGGGUAACCUGCCCUUAAGUGGGGGAUAACAUUUGGAAACAGAUGCUAAUACCGCAUAAAUCCAAGAACCGCAUGGUUCUUGGCUGAAAGAUGGCGUAAGCUAUCGCUUUUGGAUGGACCCGCGGCGUAUUAGCUAGUUGGUGAGGUAACGGCUCACCAAGGCAAUGAUACGUAGCCGAACUGAGAGGUUGAUCGGCCACAUUGGGACUGAGACACGGCCCAAACUCCUACGGGAGGCAGCAGUAGGGAAUCUUCCACAAUGGACGCAAGUCUGAUGGAGCAACGCCGCGUGAGUGAAGAAGGCUUUCGGGUCGUAAAACUCUGUUGUUGGAGAAGAAUGGUCGGCAGAGUAACUGUUGUCGGCGUGACGGUAUCCAACCAGAAAGCCACGGCUAACUACGUGCCAGCAGCCGCGGUAAUACGUAGGUGGCAAGCGUUAUCCGGAUUUAUUGGGCGUAAAGCGAGCGCAGGCGGUUUUUUAAGUCUGAUGUGAAAGCCCUCGGCUUAACCGAGGAAGUGCAUCGGAAACUGGAAAACUUGAGUGCAGAAGAGGACAGUGGAACUCCAUGUGUAGCGGUGAAAUGCGUAGAUAUAUGGAAGAACACCAGUGGCGAAGGCGGCUGUCUGGUCUGUAACUGACGCUGAGGCUCGAAAGCAUGGGUAGCGAACAGGAUUAGAUACCCUGGUAGUCCAUGCCGUAAACGAUGAAUGCUAGGUGUUGGAGGGUUUCCGCCCUUCAGUGCCGCAGC